This 387-nucleotide ribosomal RNA is filed under the name uncultured bacterium. Its description in RNAcentral is "bacterial SSU rRNA". It matches the Rfam family "Bacterial small subunit ribosomal RNA", at positions 29 to 416 of the family's 1533-position model. The record is from RNAcentral.
AUUGAACGCUGGCGGCAUGCUUUACACAUGCAAGUCGAACGGCAGCACGGGGGCAACCCUGGUGGCGAGUGGCGAACGGGUGAGUAAUGCAUCGGAACGCGUCCUGUAAUGGGGGAGUAACCUAGCGAAAGUUAGGCUAAUACCGCAUACGUCCUGAGGGAGAAAGCGGGGGAUCGUAAGACCUCGUGUUAUAGGAGCGGCCGAUGUCGGAUUAGCUAGUUGGUGGGGUAAAGGCCUACCAAGGCGACGAUCCGUAGCGGGUCUGAGAGGACGGCCCGCCACACUGGGACUGAGACACGGCCCAGACUCCUACGGGAGGCAGCAGUGGGGAAUUUUGGACAAUGGGGGCAACCCUGAUCCAGCCAUGCCGCGUGAGUGAAGAAGGCC